RNAcentral lists this ribosomal RNA (253 nucleotides) under uncultured bacterium. RNAcentral's name for it is "partial 16S ribosomal RNA". It matches the Rfam family "Bacterial small subunit ribosomal RNA", at positions 524 to 776 of the family's 1533-position model. The record is from RNAcentral.
UACGUAGGGGGCAAGCGUUGUCCGGAAUCAUUGGGCGUAAAGCGUGCGCAGGCGGUUUUGUAAGUCAGAUGUGAAAUCCCCGGGCUUAACCUGGGAACUGCGUUUGAAACUACAAGGCUAGAGUGUGACAGAGGGGGGUGGAAUUCCACGUGUAGCAGUGAAAUGCGUAGAGAUGUGGAGGAACACCGAUGGCGAAGGCAGCCCCCUGGGUUAACACUGACGCUCAGGCACGAAAGCGUGGGGAGCAAACAGG